GGGCGAUUAGCUCAGAUUGGGUUAGAGCGUCGCGUUGACAUCGCGAAGGUCGGAGGUUCGAAUCCUCCAUCGCCCA
RNAcentral lists this transfer RNA (76 nucleotides) under Caldifarciminota bacterium. Its description in RNAcentral is "tRNA-Val". It matches the Rfam family "tRNA". Rfam says of the family: Transfer RNA (tRNA) molecules are approximately 80 nucleotides in length. Their secondary structure includes four short double-helical elements and three loops (D, anti-codon, and T loops). Lineage: Bacteria; Pseudomonadati; Caldifarciminota. RNAcentral also lists the same sequence under 1 other name. The record is from RNAcentral.